CGUACACUCCUGCGGGAGGCAGCAGUGGGGAAUAUUGGACAAUGGGCGCAAGCCUGAUCCAGCCAUGCCGCGUGAGUGAUGAAGGCCCUAGGGUUGUAAAGCUCUUUCACCGGUGAAGAUAAUGACGGUAACCGGAGAAGAAGCCCCGGCUAACUUCGUGCCAGCAGCCGCGGUAAUACGAAGGGGGCUAGCGUUGUUCGGAUUUACUGGGCGUAAAGCGCACGUAGGCGGACUAUUAAGUCAGGGGUGAAAUCCCGGGGCUCAACCCCGGAACUGCCUUUGAUACUGGUAGUCUUGAGUUCGAGAGAGGUGAGUGGAAUUCCGAGUGUAGAGGUGAAAUUCGUAGAUAUUCGGAGGAACACCAGUGGCGAAGGCGGCUCACUGGCUCGAUACUGACGCUGAGGUGCGAAAGCGUGGGGAGCAAACAGGAUUAGAAACCCGGGUAGUCCC
This 450-nucleotide ribosomal RNA is filed under the name uncultured organism. Its description in RNAcentral is "partial 16S ribosomal RNA". It matches the Rfam family "Bacterial small subunit ribosomal RNA", at positions 330 to 797 of the family's 1533-position model. The record is from RNAcentral.